RNAcentral lists this long non-coding RNA (201 nucleotides) under Gossypium raimondii (Peruvian cotton). Its description in RNAcentral is "long non-coding RNA (GRAI_LNC006176)". Lineage: Eukaryota; Viridiplantae; Streptophyta; Magnoliopsida; Malvales; Malvaceae. The record is from RNAcentral.
GGGCCCGACCCGGCCCGAAUUAUAUAUUAAAUAUAUAUAUUUGUUAUUUUUAAAAUAUACUACUUUUUAACUUUUGUUUCACUUCCACCGAUCCAAAAUCCCUAAGCCCUAACUCAGAUCGUGCCCUCCUCUCUUUUUUCCUAAUUCCAAAAUUAAGCUUCAAAAUCCCUAAGCCCUAACUCACCACCUCCCCCAAUCCAC